UUUUGUGUGUCUCUAACAGUUCUGGGAUCUCUCUGUCUGCUGCUCAUAGAUGGAUUUCCAGUUUCUGAAGAUGAAUCUCCAGAGAUAAUUGGACCAGGCUUUGUCCAAAUAAAAACUCAUCCAGGUAACGCAUCAAGUCUCUUUUGAUGGGACAGGCUGUGUUGUUGUGAAACCUUUCUUAGAUGUAUGGAUGUGUUCUGCCUCCUAGGUGCACCACUGGUGCUUCACUGUGAUGCGUUUGCAAACUGUGAGGAUGAUGUGACUCUUAUCUACUGGCUUGUCAAUGACACCUUCCCCGAAGAUGCCCCCAGCAGCGACAGGAUAACAGAAUCUAAUGAAUCUACUCUAGAGGAGGGUGCAAUCCUUCAGAGGAGUUUGCUGUUGAAGAACAUCACAUCCGAGGACCUCAAAUCCACCUUCACAUGUGUUGUGACAAAUGCUGUGGGAAUGGCCCAAAAACACAUUAAAUUAAUAGCAACAAGUGAAGACUGAAGAUACUAAAUGACUGAAGAUACUAAUUGACUGAAGAUACUAAAUGACUGAAGAUACUAAAUGACAACUGUGUAAAAGAUCUUGAUUUUCUGUCCUCUGAAUUGUGAUAUAAGUCAUGUCUGUCAAGAGUCAACAUUGCAUGUCAGCAUUUUCAUGUAAAACUUUUGUUUGGCAACUUGUGGAUGAACCCUGCUGAAGAGCUGGAUGGUUCAAAACCUGAACUCCAGUUACGCUUAAAGGUAAAGCAAGUAGCUGCUGCGGGUCAUCAGAACGCUCUGCUUUAUAUGAAUCUGACAAACAUACAGAGGCGCCAUCUGAUGUAGCACUGUUGUGGUCCAAUUGUAACUCUGUUACACUUACCCACAUUACUGUCAUUUAGACGACUGUGCCACACUUCAGAACGUGUGCUGAAUAUUGUGUCAGCAAACUGUUUUCUAUGCCUGUGUACGGUUCCUGUACUUGCUGAAAAAACAAAUAGUGAGAAUUAAAUGUAUAUACUUUUAAACCAAUAACCAUGUUUCCCUUGAGAGUUACUGUUAUUCACACUUAGAUGUUUGAAAUAAGCCAACUGCUCACUAUUCCUAAUAAUAUCGGAGUAAGCAUUUCCACCAUCUGUACAGCAGAGGUCAGCAAAGCAGCUCGGUUCCUCAACCUUGUUUUGUUGGGGAGCAGAUUUAGUUUGGUAGACGCAGUCAACAUGCCAAUGUCUAAGUUGUGUUUAAUCUUUUUUAGAUUCAUGCUUGAAAGCAGAUAUAAUUUCUAUUGAUAAAUAGCAGCUCAUUUAAUUUGAUUUGAAGAA
This is a long non-coding RNA of Oreochromis niloticus (Nile tilapia), 1291 nucleotides long. NCBI's taxonomy places the organism in Eukaryota, Metazoa, Chordata, Actinopteri, Cichliformes, Cichlidae. The record is from Ensembl.